GGGUCAGUAGGUUGGUCGUGCCACCGGUACGUACUGGUCUCACCGAUUCCUCCUUCCUGAAGAACCGUAAUGCCAUUAAUUUGGUGUUGCGGGGAAACAGGACUGUUACUUUGAAAAAAUUAGAGCGUUUAAAGCAAGCUAACGCUUGAAUACAUUAGCAUGGAAUAAUGAAAUAGGACGAUCGAUCCUAUUUUGUUGGUUUCUAGGAUUGACGUA
This 216-nucleotide ribosomal RNA is filed under the name Glomeromycotina sp. RNAcentral describes it as "partial small subunit ribosomal RNA". The stretch from base 46 to 216 matches the Rfam family "Eukaryotic small subunit ribosomal RNA", at positions 692 to 864 of the family's 1831-position model. Lineage: Eukaryota; Fungi; Glomeromycota. The record is from RNAcentral.